GUUAUUUAAAGACUGAAUUAGACUUGUGUUAUGAUAUGGUGUGUACUUGUUAGCGGCCAGUUCGGCACAGUAUGCUGCAGAUUAAAUCUUUGAUGCAACCUUCAUAUACUUACAAUUUUUUUUCCCCGUUGUAAAAAUUGAACUUCCAUUUACCUGAUUGCUAGUAUCAACAGUCAUUUGUCUAAAUUUCAUGGUAAAGAACAUGUGCAACAGAUUUCCUAUGUGCUAA
RNAcentral lists this unclassified non-coding RNA (229 nucleotides) under Hevea brasiliensis (rubber tree). Lineage: Eukaryota; Viridiplantae; Streptophyta; Magnoliopsida; Malpighiales; Euphorbiaceae. The record is from RNAcentral.